This is a long non-coding RNA of Nerophis ophidion (straightnose pipefish), 1689 nucleotides long. RefSeq lists it as uncharacterized. The transcript is spliced from 3 exons. The record is from RefSeq and is a predicted model, not a curated record. Lineage: Eukaryota; Metazoa; Chordata; Actinopteri; Syngnathiformes; Syngnathidae.
GUUCCUCCUCAGCUGCGGCUGUUUGGCACCUGGUCACACAUUUUGCCAAUCAGCCCGCUCCUAUUUGUACCUGCUUUGUCUUGUGUGUACAUGUCACAUCUGUGUGAACAUGGAGACAGUGGCUGAGUGUGCCUGCUGUCAUGAGAUACAGGCAGUGGCCACAACAAUGGAGCAGUAAGGGGUGGAGACGUGGAUCAUAGACCACCCUGGCUUUCAAUCUCUGUGUCUGGAUGAAUGGGUGCUGCAGACAGCGUAUUACGCCUACAAACAGCAAUAUGGCGUGCUGCAGCAACAGCAAAAUGAGUGGAGACGAUACACAGCAUCUCGACAGUUUGUCCUCUUCUGCUGGGGAUAUCUGGAAAAGAUAUUGUCUGCUGGUUCUGCUCAGGACCUCUGCAUCAAUGAUGAUUUUGAGUAAGCAUUUGUGAGUUGAGUGCUUCUCAAAUUGUUUAUCUUCAGAGAGAAAAAACAAAUUUUUAAAUCAUUCAAGUUUAUUUCACAGAAAAACGGCACAGUAGACUUGUCUUGGUAAUCGGAUUGUCUUUGACUAAAAUAAUCUUGUUUUGUCACCAGAAAAAUGGCUACCGCUAAAGCAUCUGGUUUUGUUUCCAGAAAAAAUAGUAACAUUUCUGUAUUUGUUGCCAGAAAGAUGGCUGAAAAUAUCAGGUUUUGUUGCCCCAUUUGGAUUUUUAAAAUAUAUUUCCAUGUCUGUCCGGAGUCCUCCUGGCCUACUGUGCAGCCAACCAGAUCCCAGAGUCAUGUACUGUUACCAGACAAAGGCAGAAGCAGAAACGAAUGGAGGACUAUGUAGUGGACUCUAGUUGUGGGGCAGUGAGGGACCUAGGUGAUGUAGAGAAACUGAAAACAAACUUGUAUCUACCUUGCCUUGACAGGAUGGUUGCUGAGAUGGAUCAGCAUUUUUCAUCUCUCAACAGCCAAAUUCUAAAAGGUGUUCAGGCCUGUAAUCCAGGAUCUGACAACUUCCUCUGCGAGGAGGACAUUUAGGGUUCUGGCAGAUCAUUACAAUGUUGAUCUAAAACCUGAAGAAGUGUUAGUGGCCAAAAACUAUCUGGCCAGAAAGCAGGAGAGCCUUCCAAUCACAGACAUGCAAAGUGUUUUCAGCUGCCUGAAUCAAGUCAUGUUCCCAACCUUGACACAGGUCAUUCAGAUCUCUCUGACCAUUCCAGUGUCCAGCUGCAGUUGUGAACGGACGUUCAGUGUGCUGAGACGGCUCCACACUUGGCUGAGAAGCACAAUGGGGCAGGAUAGGCUUCACCAUCUUGCCAUCAUGUCAGUUGAGAGGGAAGGACUUUCCAAGUUAAGUCAGAGUGAAGUGAUUGACCACUUUGCAAAAAUGAAAACGAGACGUUACAGUUUACUCUUCAGAAAAUGAUUCCCUGAACAGACACACAACAGUUGUUCAAUUAUUCUACUACUCUGGCUUUAUUGUUUUGUGUAUAUUUUAUAAUUUUGUGUAUCUGAAAUAGGAUUAGCCACAUUGCCAUAAAUAGAAAUUAAAUAAUAUAAAAGAACCCAGAGAUGUAGGGGUGCUUUAUUUUUUGUUUUACUUUUUGUAGAUGUUAAAUUUGCAGAUGAUUACUGCAAUAAAUAUUUCAAAAAGAUUCAUUGCUCUUCCUUUUUGCUUUUACCAGUAGCAGUUUAGAAGUCUGGAAUAAAAACGUGCACAAG